This 83-nucleotide microRNA precursor is filed under the name Zootermopsis nevadensis. RNAcentral's name for it is "mir-124 microRNA precursor family". The stretch from base 5 to 78 matches the Rfam family "mir-124 microRNA precursor family". From Rfam's summary of the family: The mature ~21nt miRNAs are processed from hairpin precursor sequences represented here, in this case originating from the 3' arm. The bounds of the precursors are predicted based on conservation and base pairing and are not generally known. The record is from RNAcentral. Lineage: Eukaryota; Metazoa; Arthropoda; Insecta; Blattodea; Termopsidae.
GUCUUUCUCCUCGUGUUCACUGUUGGCCUUGAUGUGUCGAAAUGUGGAUCAUAAGGCACGCGGUGAAUGCCAAGAGCGGACUG